Non-coding RNA from Prevotella sp. oral taxon 299, 106 nucleotides. It matches the Rfam family "Bacteroidales small SRP". From Rfam's summary of the family: The non-coding component of the signal recognition particle in Bacteroides The record is from Rfam. NCBI's taxonomy places the organism in Bacteria, Pseudomonadati, Bacteroidota, Bacteroidia, Bacteroidales, Prevotellaceae.
GCAAUACGGGCAAGUCUUACACGACCAGCUCCUUUCGAAUCCUCCAGGAUAGGAAUAUAGCAAAGGUAGAAGGUUGAGCGGUGCGAUGUAAGUAGCUUGUCCACCC